Non-coding RNA from Monodelphis domestica (gray short-tailed opossum), 1370 nucleotides. NCBI's taxonomy places the organism in Eukaryota, Metazoa, Chordata, Mammalia, Didelphimorphia, Didelphidae. The record is from RefSeq and is a predicted model, not a curated record.
AGAAGGGAAACAUUAACCCUUUAUUAGCACUUUACUUUCCAUCGGUAGCCAACGAAAAUGACGGCUGCUCCGGCCCCUGCUGGACCACAACCAGCGCAAACCUAAAGGUUCCUAAGGCCAUAGAUGUAGGACCAGAGGGACUUUGAUCCUGAAAAAUUCCAUCUUCUCCACAAAGUUUUGAUCCAUUCAGCUUCACCGCCUCCCACUCUCUUCUCCAAAUUCCUAUUCCAUUUAUCUUUUACCCCUCACGGAUGACAGUUCUUUGUCUUAUGUGGAUAAAGGGGGUAAAGCAGGAAGCCAGGAUCUGAGAUCCCCUUCAACUAGACAGUAGCUCAAAACAAGCAGAUCUUAUUGAAUUGCUUUAGAAAUACAAUUCAAAGACUGUGCCAAAAUCACCGCAGGGGAAUGUGAUAUGUAUUGUAAUGUGUGAAGGAGAGAUGGAAAAAAAGUCUGCAGCAAAGGCUGGAAAAGCAAGGACUCCAGAACCUGUCAGUCAAGAUGAACAUUCUAUUUAGAAUGGGGACCAGGAAGGACCAUUGAAAAAGGAGGAAGCAAACUGAAAAACUGAGUCUCUGCUUUGGGACAGGAAAGAGGAAGGACAAAAGUCCUGCUCUCUUGUUUCUCUCUGCUAUACUAUAGUGAACUUGAAUCUUCAAGACCCGUUGACCAUUUUCCCAUAUCUGAACUAUAUUCCACCAUCCUCCAACUUCAGGAUUGUUUAGUAUAAGGGAAACCCCAAACCCUCUCUCCCCUCAACUUCUUUUCCUUUCCCCUUCUUUUAAAUAAACCCCUUACUUAAAUCUUGGAGAAGAGAAAGAGUGAUUUAUCUGAUCUACCAAAAGACUCACUCUGAACUGAUUUCAGUGAGAUCAACAGAAGACUCAAAUAGGGAGGGGAAGGAAGGAGGGAGGAGGAACAAAGAGAGAGGAAAAGGGAGGGGAAGGAAGGAAGGAGGAGAUUGGCAGAUCUGAUCUUGAAAUCACCAUCUCUCACUUAAAUUAUCCCCUAAUCUAGUAUCUACAUAAGGAAGUAAAACAAAGAGUCUCUAUUUGAGAGUUAAGCAUGAUGCCAUUAAUGAUAAUAAAGAUCUAAUAAACUUAGCAAAAUGAUUUUGCCUAAAUUUAAUUGACCUUUGUUAAUUUUGUCUCAUUCUCAUUCUUUUUUGGUAUUUUUGUUCUUUGAUCUUCCCUUUAUAGCAAUCAAAAGGAGAAACACAGGAAACUGGAUGGAAUAAUGGUGGAAGGAAAAGAAAAGAGAGGGAAGUAGAGGAAUGAAUGAGAUUGGGCAAGAUACUUGAAUGGAAAGAAAGAAAUCAGCUGAUAGAGAGAAGGAAAAUCCUAGGUUACUAGAUUUCAGUAUCCAUGAUGGCA